Long non-coding RNA from Marmota monax (woodchuck), 992 nucleotides. RefSeq lists it as uncharacterized. The record is from RefSeq and is a predicted model, not a curated record. The transcript is spliced from 3 exons. Lineage: Eukaryota; Metazoa; Chordata; Mammalia; Rodentia; Sciuridae.
AGCCGACAGAGCCUGACAGCCUCAGUACCAAGUGGCUUUUUCUGGAGAAGGCUGAGGGCAGGAAAUCAAAAGGACAGACACCAAAGGAACCCAGAAAGGAUGGCCCACCUGCAGGCCAGGAGGCUGUUAGGAGGAGCCGGAGAACAUUCCAGAACAGACUCAACACUCGCCACCAGAGGCCGAAACUGCCUUCGACGCAGACUCAGGUGGACAGACACAGACGGGAUGUGCUGAGAACGAGGGUGGCCAGCGGGGGGCGCUCUGGCCCGCACCACUGAUUCCAGAUGCCGCUUCGGAGGCCGGCUCCACGGUGGGGAGGCCGAGCGGCCCCACCCUGCUCGGUGGCUGGGCCCCGGCUGGGUCAAGCCACAAGUGACCAGCAGCUGCUGAUGGAGCAGCCAGUGACCCUUGGGCAGGGAGGCGGCCUCCAAGCCAGGUCCAAAGGCCAGAGCACUGCCCGCUUGGGUGCGGCCACCCUCAAGACGGGCUUAUAGUUAUAAGUGGUUCCAAAAACAGAAAACCACCACGUCCCACAGCAAGUGAGGAUCGCGAGGGCCAGCCACAGCGAGGCUCCAGCUCACACUCGGUGGCUGCUGACUCUUCCUUGGGGCCAAAGAUGAAGGGACGGACGUGUCUGUAAGCAGCUCAGAGCCCCGGAGGCCUGGAUGCUGCCUGGACAGCUCGGAUCCACGCGAGCCCUGGGCUGAGUCCUCAUCAGACCUGCCUUGUCCCUGGCCAGGAGAGGCUAAGGCAGGAAGAGCGGGGGACACAGCGUGGGCGCUCCAGGGGAGACGAGUGGCCCGAGCAGCGCCCCCCAGGAGCUGGGCAGGUGGCGGAACCUGCUCCACUCCGAGGCAGGAGAAGGUAGGACGGACCGAGCCGUAGCCGGUGGGAAGUGGUCUGGAGCACUCCCUGUCCCCACCAGUGACGGGGUGACGGGCAGCCCCUGGACCCACCUGCGGAGGAGCUUGGCCUUCAGUGAGGCGCGGGAG